RNAcentral lists this ribosomal RNA (467 nucleotides) under uncultured bacterium. RNAcentral describes it as "partial 16S ribosomal RNA". It matches the Rfam family "Bacterial small subunit ribosomal RNA", at positions 28 to 506 of the family's 1533-position model. The record is from RNAcentral.
GACGAACGCUGGCGGCGUGCUUAACACAUGCAAGUCGAACGGAAAGGCCCUGCUUUUGUGGUGUGCUCGAUUGGCGAACGGGUGCGUAACACGUGUGCAACCUGCCCUUGUCUUUGGUAUAACUUCACGUAACUGGGGCUAAUAUCGUAUAGGAGCUCCUGCUGCGCGGUGGGGGUUGGAAAGUUGCGGCGGUUGGGGAUGGAUGCGCGGCUUAUCAGCUUGCUGGUUGGGUAGUGGCUUACCAAGGCCUUGACGGGUAGCCGGCCUGGGAGGGUGACCGGGCACAUUGGGCCUGAGAUACGGCCAAGACUCAUUAGGGGGGCAGGAGUGGGGACUAUUGCACAAUGGGCCGAAGCGUGAUGCAGCAACGCCGCGUGCGGGAUGACGGCCUUCGGGUUGUAAACGGAUUUCGCCUGUGACGAAGCGUGAGUAACGGUAAUGGGUAAAGAAGCACGGGCUAACUACGU